RNAcentral lists this long non-coding RNA (763 nucleotides) under Homo sapiens (human). RNAcentral's name for it is "HSALNT0347122". Lineage: Eukaryota; Metazoa; Chordata; Mammalia; Primates; Hominidae. The record is from RNAcentral.
AGCUGGAUGGGUGAAGUGUUCCCUCAGUUCACAUAGACCAGGCUUCCUCUUUAGAGGCAUAAGCUGUAAAACAGGAGAGUCUGUUUUAAGAGGAUCUGUUUGAAGUUUAAUGUAACUGAAGUCCAUGCACCUGAAGCCAUUAAUUGAUAUAAGUGAAGUAAGUCUUUGGGUUUCCGGUAGCUCUGACUCAGAUUCUGCUUGCCUCUUCUCCAUGAGAUUACCAAGGCAUCAGGGCAGAGACUCCCUGAGGCUAUGCUAGAAGGGUACCAUUUGAAAAGGAAGUGUAUGACCCACCGUGAAAUGGAACUGGUAGCUGGUCACCCAGGUGCUCUUCCUUGUUAACUGAUGAGAGCGAUUAUUAUGUGAGAACUUUAACAACCUGCCAAAGGAUCCCGGGGCAAGAAUGAGAGCUGAACCAUUGAAAAGCUGAGCAUCGAAGUGCCUGGGAAGCCCAAAACUCAGCACAUUCAUGCUUUUGCUGGUUUUUGACCAUUGAGAAGAAAAAAGAGUCAGCAACCAGGGAGCAGGAUACUCUGGGAAAAGCUUCAUGCUUUCAAAACACUGAAUUUCAGGGAGGUCCUCGGCAAAAUCAUGAAACGAAUUUGAAUCUUACCCUUCGUUCAGGUUUCAGUCUGUGACCUUGGACCCAGAUUCCAUGAAUAGAACAUUGUCCUCGCAGGGCAGAGGCUCAAUAACUGGACAUUUUCUGGGUCCCUGAAUUUGUACAAUGAGAUAUCAACUCCAAUCUGUGAGCACAAUGCUC